This 503-nucleotide ribosomal RNA is filed under the name uncultured bacterium. RNAcentral's name for it is "partial 16S ribosomal RNA". It matches the Rfam family "Bacterial small subunit ribosomal RNA", at positions 28 to 523 of the family's 1533-position model. The record is from RNAcentral.
GACGAACGUUGGCGGCGUGUCUAAGGCAUGCAAGUCGAACGAAGAUCUAGCUUGCUAGAUCUUAGUGGCGAACGGGUGAGUAAUACAUAAAUAAUCUGCCCAUAUGACUGGGAUAACUAUUGGAAACGAUAGCUAAUACCGGAUAGGUUGAUCGGAGGCAUCUCUGAUGAAUUAAAGUAGGAUUUCUACACAAAUGGAUGAGUUUAUGGCGCAUUAGUUAGUUGGUGGGGUAACGGCCUACCAAGACGAUGAUGCGUAGCCGACCUGAGAGGGUGACCGGCCACACUGGGACUGAGAGACGGCCCAGACUCCUACGGGAGGCAGCAGUAGGGAAUUUUCGGCAAUGGGCGCAAGCCUGACCGAGCAACGCCGCGUGAGUGAUUAAGGCCUUCGGGUUGUAAAGCUCUGUUGUAAGGGAAGAACAUUCAGGAUAGGAAAUGAUCUUGAACUGACGGUACCUUACCAGAAAGCCACGGCUAACUACGUGCCAGCCGCCGCCGUAA